Molecule: long non-coding RNA, 2126 nt
Organism: Equus asinus (donkey)
Lineage: Eukaryota; Metazoa; Chordata; Mammalia; Perissodactyla; Equidae
Source: Ensembl
CCAAAAACUUUAAGCAAAUAAUGUUUAUUUUUAUAUUGAUGAUACACUUAAUAUAUACGUAGAUUCAAGAUACAAAAUUCAUUUACAAGAGUUCACACCUGAUGAAUGUAGUCACAUUCCUAGAGAACAUUUAUCAAUGCAAAAAUGUCUUCCAUACAUUGACAACAAAAAUCAUAUAUUCUGUAAUCUUGUUAUUCAAUAAACAUCAAAACAACAUUUAACUUUCCAGCCUCUAGUAUCUAAGUGCCCUCAAGGUGGCAGGCACCAUAUAACAGAAGAAAACAUUGGAAAGACAAGGGCCUACUGAGUCUCUCUGCAGAAUCACAGUGUUUACUCUGAAAUUUUUAGUGAAAUAGUUAGUGAAAAGGCUUGCUAUCCUUUAUGACAAAUCACAUAUCAUACAAGAGUCAAAAGUGAUGAACUCAAGAAAAUAAAAUGUUUCAAUAACUUCUCAAUUUCUAAAAUCUAUGAAAUAUUAACCAUAACAGACAAAGCAGUAAAAGGCUGCUGAAAAGGAAGAAAACGGGAAAACACCCUUAAAAGUAUGUAUGGCUUAAGCAAUUUAGAAACACAACAGACAAGACUUUUACAAUACCACAAAAGUUCAAGUCAAAUGAUGUUGACAAUAUAAGUUUCCCCCUUAGUCACUGGUAGUAAAUAGCCCCUUCAAAAUUUAUUCUACUGAUAACACAUAUAAAACUAAUGAAUCCAAAUGUUUUGCUGUCUCACAGAGCUGAGUUGAUGGAUUUUGUUCUAAAGUAUUAACCCACAACACCCAAAAUUUAAUACAAAUGAGCAACAAGACUAUGUCUCAAGGAUUACAGUGAUUUGUGAAUAGCUAGAUAGGCAACCAAUUAGCUUCAUAUUUGCACGACAGAUUAGCAGCACUUGGAUAAGAACUGUUACAUGAAAAUUAUUGUGCUUCAAUCUCUUGAGGAGAGCUAAUAAAUAUAACUCUAUAAUCCCUAUAGUGUUACAAUUCUAUAACAUUUCAGUUACAGACGAGCACAAUUUUUUAAGUAUUUCACACCACUAGAAAAUCAAGUAAUUAUAUUCUGCAAAUGUAAUUUCUGCUAUGAUUGAAACAAGUGCAUUUCUGCCUAAUAUCCAUAAUAUAGACAAUAGGUUCACAAGUUGGCACUGCAUAUACUUACUAUCCUUUUAUCCUCCCCCACCGUCAUCUUUGGUAGAGGUUUGAUGGCCCAGAUUUUAUAGCACACCAUGCACCUAAUAUUAAGAAUCCUAUUUCAUGUGUGAAUAUAUCAUCAAUUUGCAGAACAAAAGUGGUCUCACAGAGACAAAUAAAUACAACGGGAGGCAUUUUAUUCACUGGAAGCAUAGUCUCAGAUGAGCAUACUCAUCUUCGAUAUGCAACACCAAUAAGAAAAAUCAAUAGUCGGAAAUGCCAACACAGGACUAAAUUAAUCACAGCUGCUGCAAAUAUACAGAUUAACAACCUCCUGUCCCACAUUAAAUUCCACCCCACCUAGGUAAAGCCUUUCCCUAGCUAAUGCCCCUUUUUCUGCCUCACAGAGACAGACAUAAAAUGAGACACAUCAGUAAAAAAAAAAAAAAAAUUGUCCCAAAAUUAAAAUUCAGUAUUAGGUAUUGAAAUUGCAACUAGGAACAUAUUUCCCAAUUUAAAGGACAUUUUCCUAUCUAUUUUGAAAUGUGAUCAAAGUAGUUUUUUCCACAGUCCCUUGAUUCUCAAUAUAAAUACUACUCAGUAAUAAUACUUAACAAGAGGUCAAGAAAAUAAAGGACUAAUAUAGCUUAAGAACCUGCUGGUGUCUCAGUUUCACAUACUUAGGUUUUUCAGGUUUAUAUCACUAAUUUAUCCUCAGUUUAAAUGAAAAUUGGCAGAUGAUUUUAAAGCUAAGAAUAUCCAGCUUUCUGUUAAGAUCUUCAUAGCCUAAUUUCAACUCCAAAGUAGCCCAUUUUACCCAAACACAAGCCCCUCAAAAUAGAGGCUUAUGAAUGAGAUACAGUCACAACCUAAUUAACAGCAGCAUGAACAAUGCCACUAUGAUGUCCUCACAGAACUUAAAUAAAUUCAGCCCACAAUGGGUAUGGGUAUAUAAUAUACACAUACUGUAUCACUGCAUACCAGUAUAUUUACAAAUAUG